Molecule: long non-coding RNA, 222 nt
Filed under: Elaeis guineensis (African oil palm)
Lineage: Eukaryota; Viridiplantae; Streptophyta; Magnoliopsida; Arecales; Arecaceae
Description: long non-coding RNA (EGUI_LNC017354)
Source: RNAcentral
UUAAGUCUCUUUUUUUCUCCAUAUUUCUCUAUUUUUUUUAGGAUCUUCACACCUAAAAAUUUAUGGAAUCUAAUACAUAAGUAUACAAUUUCUUAUGUUAAACAAAGUUAAAAAAUUAUGCACUAGUAUUAAUGAACGUCAUAUUCUAAAAAUUAUGUAUCAGUUUAAUUAUCUAAAAAUAUUUAUUGACUUACUAAAUAACUAAUUUGCUUGAUGUUUAUC